AACGAACGCUGGCGGCGUGCCUAAUACAUGCAAGUCGAACGGUGAAGCAAUACCUAGUGGCGCACGGGUGGGUAACGCGUGGAUAAGCGGCCCUUCCGUGGGGAAUAACUCUCCGAAAGGAGGGCAAAUACCGCAUAGGAUGACAAUGACUGUGGUCACAGGGGUUAUAGGAGCAAUUCGCUGGAGGAUGAGUCGGCGUCGGAUUGUGCUAGUUGGUGGGGUAACGGCCUACCAAGCCUUCGAUGUGUAGCUGGUCGGGGAGGAUGAUCAGCCACACUGGAACUGAGACGCGGUACCGACUCCUACGGGAGGAAGCAGUAGGGAAUAUUGGUCCAUGGGCGACAGGUUGAAUAAGCAACGCCGCGUGUGCGACGAAGGCCUUAGGAGUGUAAAGCUCUGUUGCCAGGUAAGAAAAAAAUGACGGUACUUUGCGAGAAAGCACCGGCCAACUUCGUG
RNAcentral lists this ribosomal RNA (456 nucleotides) under uncultured bacterium. RNAcentral's name for it is "partial 16S ribosomal RNA". It matches the Rfam family "Bacterial small subunit ribosomal RNA", at positions 29 to 507 of the family's 1533-position model. The record is from RNAcentral.